Molecule: long non-coding RNA, 15194 nt
Filed under: Theobroma cacao (cacao)
Lineage: Eukaryota; Viridiplantae; Streptophyta; Magnoliopsida; Malvales; Malvaceae
Description: long non-coding RNA (TCAC_LNC004247)
Source: RNAcentral
GCAGUCUAUCACAGGUGUUACGAUGCAUCCACAUUAGCCUCUUAUGUGUGCAACAGCAUCCUGAGGAGAGGCCAAGCAUGUCAUCCGUGGUUCUGAUGUUGGGAAGUGAAAAUGAAUUGCCUCUGCCCAAACAACCUGGUUUUUUGUUUCACAAUAGUCCCUUUGAAGCAGAGUCUUCAUCAGGCAACCAUGGAUCAUCUUCGAGAAACGAAAUAAGUUUAUCACUUUUAGACGCUCGAUAGAGGGUGAUAUGCUCCAAACCAUCAGUAAUGACUCCAAUCCCACUUGAUGUUUGGGGCAUGUGCUUUUAGAGCCAAUGCUAGUGAGAAAUGUUUCAGAAAUCAAACAUGCAAUCAAGUAUAAAUAGUGGUGUUUUGUUUAUUUCAUGGAUAGAUAAGAUUGAAGGGCCAAACUGAAGCUUCAUACAGUUAACAUGUACAAAUUCCAUGCAAUCUCUUCAUUUACAAGUUUUUGACUUAUCUUGUUUUCUACUGCAUUUAUGUAAUAUCAAGAGCCACCUAACCUUGUCAACUUGAAAAAUGAUAAUAUUAAUGCAUGAUGAGCCCAUCUUUCCCCUCAAUAUAAGUGUUAAUUAGUGUGAUAAAUGAAUCAACAAACUAACAUCAUUGUCUCUGUAUCAUUUUGUGCAUAAUCAAACAUUUGUUAUCAACAAGAAGAAAAGAUCAUUCAUACUACAGGGAUUGCUCAGUUCCUUUUGCUUAAAUCCAGAAGCGGCUAAGUACCAUGAGACUGUAACCUCUUUUUGGGGCACAAACGAAUGGACUUCACAUACAAGAUUAGUCAAGCUAACUAGCAAUUAGAUCUUUAACAGAGGCUAGGGAUUCCAAGGCUGUAGAGUUUUCAUCUUCAUCUUUGUUUCAUCGUAGUCCAACUCUUUGGUUAUGGGGGCUUCAAAGGAGUUGGAAGACGUAUCGAUGAGGUUGUCAGGGCGUCGCAAAACAAAAAGAAAAGGGAAGAGCACGCUGAUUGUACGUGACUGACAGCUGAUACGAGGUUGGCUUUGUCCUGUUGCAGACAAAGAUUUGGUGGGCCCAACACGUUGGCAACAAUAUCAAACGUAAGAGUGAUAAUAGAUUUGGCAAAGUCAUGAACACAUCACUCAGGGGAGGGGGAUUUGGCAAAAUUAUGGAGUGGUACUAGCAAUUAGAGGAAUGGGCCGACAUGCUUAAUGGGCUUGUAGUGCACUAGCAAUUUUUUAAUGGGCUUAUUGUGGAUCAAGGCAUGUUCUAAAGGGCUUCUUUUGAACAACAAAUAUUGGUUUUUUCUUUGUUAAAGUCAUUGUAGGAGUAGUCAUCAGCGUAAUUAAAAAACCGACAGUUCCGCUUGCCCGACGCUACUUUCCGCUUGGUUUUGUCAUAACAAUAAUGUUGACUUAAUAAUAAAUAAUUAUGUCAUUCACCAUGUAUUUUUGUUAGUUUUUGAAAGUUCUCUUUAGAUUUGCUGGCAUGACUUCAAAAUUAUAUAUAAUUAAAUAAUAUAUAUAUAUAUAUAUAUGUAUAGUAUUGUUUUGAAGAAGAAAAAGAAAGGAAAAUGGAGUUCUAUGUGCAAAAGAAUUGAUUUUAUUUGUUGAAUCAAAUAAAAAAUAAUUAAAUGUAUAAUUGAAAAAUCAUAUACAGAUUUUUUAAAAAACAGCAUAUCUAUUAAUUAGAAAUAAUAAUAAAUUAUAUAAAUAUGUGAUUAAUGUUAAUUGAUUAACUAUUUUAAAUUAAUUACAUUAAUGAAUUAACUAAUUAAUUAGUUAAUUAAGAUAAUUAACUAACUAUUUUAUUUCCAAAAUAAUUUAAAUUAAUUAAUUUAAUUCUUUAAAACUUAACUAAUUUACCAAAAAUAAAUAUUUAGUAAUUUCACAUAUUUUAAUAUAUAAAUAUUUAGUAUUUAAAUAUUAGGUUAGUUUUGUCAUGCUAUUAUUUAUUAUUUUAAGGGAUAAGGUUGAAAAAUUAAAAAUUUACCUGAAAAUAAUAAAUAAAAAGGUAAGUUUGAAAAUAUAAGGGUAAUUUUUUAAAUUUACAUUACAUUCUCAUACUUCCAAACCAAAGAAUACCAUCUAAUCUUCCCAGCAAUCAUAUUACAUGCAAUCAUCAUUUGUCUAUGAUAUAUAAAACGUUGCAAAGUUUUUUUUCAUUCAUCAUAUUCCCUACAAUUAUCAUUUUUUUAUAUUAUACAAAAUGCUGCAAAAUUCUUCUCAUCUAUCAUAUUCCCUACAGUCAUCACUUUUUCAUAUUAUAUCAAUGCUGCAAAAUUCUUCUCAUCAAUAACAUUCUCAAUAAUCAUAUUAUUAACAAUCACAUUUUCAAUAAAAUAUUAAAAAACCCGGUUUAUACUACUAAGAACAAACUAAUUAACAUGAAAAUAAGGGAAAUUGACACGAAGUCAAUUCUAUCGGUCCCUUAGGACUUGUGAUUGCAAUUUCUUGUAAAUUCAGCCUAAAAGUAUAGGAAGACUUGACUUUUUGGUAAUCAUGUCGACUUCAUAAUAGUUAUUGAGAAGAAAAAAUCUCCAUGACGUACGUUUUUUUUAAGUCUAGAUAUGCAUGUUUACUUAAUUACUUGCAUGUUGAGUGGUCUUGGUUUAAGUCAUAGUCUUACGGUCUAGUAGUGUACAAUGAAAUUAAUUUUAGAGGUUACUUUAUGAUAUAAUUGAGUGUAAAGUUCCCUGAUUUUUUUGUGUAACAAAGAACUUUAGCAUCUUGGGUUUAGCUCUACAUUAAGCUAGGGCAGACAAGAAUAUACCGUUUCAUAGUUUUUUAAACUUAACUGCAACUUAUUUCAGUUCCUAUUUAUCAAUAAUCUUAACUUGACAGCCAUCAUAGUUAAAUAUCUAGUUAAAGAUACUUCUAUCUCCAAGAAGAAGUUGAGACCUAUAGAAUAGUUGUAGUCUCUGUCACGAUUGAUGAAGAAUUCCAAGGUCAAUGGACCCAAAGUCUUGCCUUGAAGCCUGAAGGUCAAUGCUGUUUAGAAUGUUCAAUCAAAUGGCAUCUAUUCUUAUCUUCCCAGCAAAAGGCUUUCAGACCAUACAUCCAUGGGCAUGGAUAUCCUUUCUUUCAGUGCUUGUUUCCUCAUCAUCUUCUCGAAAGCUUCCAUCGCACUCGACAAGAUUUCUCCGUCUGAGUCACUCACUGAUGGCACGACCUUGGUCUCUAGUGAUGGAAGCUUUGCAUUGGGUUUCUUCACUCCGGGGAGUUCCAAGAAUCGUUACUUGGGAAUUUGGUACAAUAACAUCCCCAUGCAAACUGUUGUAUGGGUUGCAAACAGGAUAAAUCCAAUAAAUGACACCACUGGCUUGCUGAAGAUAGAAAGCUCUGGCAGAGUCGUGCUUCUAGGUCAGAACCAAACAACUGUUUGGUCAAUUAAUUCCACAGAAGCAGCUCAGAAUCCGAUUCUGCAGCUCCUGGAUUCAGGCAAUCUUGUUGUCAGAGAUGGAAAAGAUGGUGAUUCAGAGAACUACUUGUGGCAAAGCUUUGAUUAUCCAACUGAUACAAUGUUAGCAGGGAUGAAGAUUGGUUGGGACCUGAGAACUGGUUUAAAUCGAAGACUAUCAGCAUGGAAGAACUCAGAUGAUCCAUCUCCUGGGGACCUUACUUAUGGGGUAGAACUCCAAGGCAAUCCACAGAUGGUGCUGCGGAAAGGCUCAGAAAAGUACUAUCGCAGUGGCCUAUGGAAUGGCAAUGGGUUUAGUGGUGUACCAAAUUUAAGAUCAAAUCCGGUCUUUGAUUACGACUUUGUCUGGAAUAAGGAGGAGGUGUACUACAUAUUUUACCUGAAAAAUAAAUCGGUGAUGUCAAGGUUUGUUUUGAACCAAACUGAAAAGGUAAGACAGCGGUACACAUGGAACCCAGAAACUCAGACUUGGAAGUUGUUUUCAAUCAUGCCAAGUGACUAUUGUGACACACCUGGACUUUGUGGUGCAAAUGGGAACUGCGACAAUUCCAAGCUUCCAGCUUGCCAAUGUUUGAAAGCAUUCAGGCCUAAAUCGCUGGAAAGAUGGAACUCCUCAGACUGGUCUGAAGGGUGUAUACACAAUAAGCCAUUAAACUGUCAAAGGGGAGAUGGAUUUAUUAGAAUUGAGAGGGUGAAAACGCCAGAUACCUCACAUUCUUGGGUGAACAAAAGCAUGAAUCUUAAGGAAUGUAGGGCUAGGUGCUUGCAGAACUGUUCAUGUAUGGCAUACACUAAUUUAGAUAUUAGAGGAGGAGGUAGCGGCUGCGCCAUGUGGUUUGAUGAUCUAAUUGAUAUUAAACAAUUCCAAUCAUUUGGCCAAGAUCUUUACAUCAGAGUGUCUGCUUCAGAAGCAGGUAUCAGUUUAAAAUCGGAACAUAUUCUUGUUAAAGCUUGUGAUAAUUUCUUUUGGAAAUUGUUUAAUUAUAUUUGUGCUCCUUCAACAAUAUUGAUCAUGCAGAACUGAAAAACAAGUCUGAGGCGAAGCUGGCCAUGAUAAUUGCAACGCCAAUUGCUGUGUUCUUGGGGCUUCUUGUAGUCAUAUAUUACAUCCGGAGAAGGAGGAGAAAAUUAGAAGGUAAUAUCAACCAUGGUCCUCAUAAAGCAGGGGAAAGUUGGUAUUUGCUAUCAAAAUCAAUUUCGCCAACAGCAGCGCUAUCAAAUCCCUGCCCUGUUUUCAAGAAAACAGUAAUACUGAAAUUUGCCAUUUCAUUAUAUUCCUUAUCAAAUUUGAUAAUAGAUGGUUUUUAAUUUUGUUUUAUGAUCUGACAAAAAAGAGAGUCCAUGAACAAUUGGUUGGAUACUUUUGGUUUUGGUGUUCAGAAGAAGCAUACAGCUUUUGUUCUUCUCUCUAAAUCUAUCAAUAUGCAUAAGAAAGCCCAUUUCUAUGUUGAAUGCUAGCCUAUUUUGACUACUGUUUCAGAUGAAGUUGAAGAAAGGAUUGAAAAUGACCAAAAGAACCAAGGCCGGAGUGAAGAUAUGGACCUUGCUGUAUUCGAGCUUGGUACGAUAGCCAGAGCUACAGAUAGUUUUUCUUUUCAUAACAAGCUAGGUGAAGGAGGUUUUGGACCUGUUUAUAAGGUAAAGUUGACAGCAUAUUACUACAAUGAUCUCAAUUACAGAGAAUUCAUCUUCCUUGAAAGCUCAUCAAAAUGUUCUUAUUCUCCAGGGGACACUUGCAAAUGGACAAGAAAUUGCUGUGAAAAGACUUUCAAAGAGUUCCGGACAAGGAUUGAACGAGUUUAAAACUGAAGUAAAGUUGAUUGCCAAACUUCAGCAUCGGAAUCUUGUAAGGCUUCUUGGGUGCUGCAUUCAUGGAGAGGAGAAAAUGCUGGUUUAUGAAUACAUGCCUAACAGAAGUCUUGACUCAUUUAUUUUUGGUCAGAAACCUUUCAAUUUUAUAUUGUCUGCUCUCGGCUUAUGAAAUAGUUUUCUUUUGCUGCUUCAAAGGAUCAAAUAGAUAUAGAAUUAACAUGAAUGCAGUAUUUGACAGAUCAAAGAAGAUGCAAAGUAUUAGAUUGGCCCAAGCGUUUCCAAAUUAUCUGUGGGAUUGCUAGGGGACUCCUUUACCUUCAUCAAGAUUCCAGAUUGAGGAUUAUUCAUAGAGAUCUGAAAGCUAGUAAUGUUCUACUUGAUAGUGAGAUGAACCCAAAAAUUUCAGAUUUUGGCAUGGCAAGAACUUUUGGAGGAGACCAGACUGAAGCCAAUACAAACAGAGUGGUUGGAACUUAGUAAGUCUACUUUUUCUGCAAAUUUGAUCUAUAGAUCCCCAUGAAAAUGCAUACUUUUAUCUGACAAUGUCCUGCAGUGGUUAUAUGGCACCAGAAUAUGCUAUCGAUGGCCUGUUUUCGGUAAAAUCAGAUGUGUUUAGCUUUGGCAUAUUGUUGUUGGAGAUAAUAAGUGGAAGAAAGAAUAGAGGAUUCUAUCAUAAAAAUCAAAGCGGCAACCUUAUUGAACAUGUAAGCCUCAUUGUCAUUAUUUUUUAUUACAUAUCUUGAAUUGAUGAAUGAUAAAAGAAUUUCUUUUUGCUGCAGGCAUGGAGAUUAUGGAAAGAAGGCAAGCCUUUGAAUCUUGCUGAUGAUUUCUUAGCAGAGACUGGCAGUCUAUCACAGGUGUUACGAUGCAUCCACAUUAGCCUUUUAUGUGUACAGCAGCAUCCUGAGGGGAGGCCAAGCAUGUCAUCCGUGGUUCUGAUGUUGGGAAGUGAGAAUGAAUUGCCUCUGCCCAAACAACCUGGUUUUUUGUUUCACAAGAGUCCAUUUGAAGCAGAUUCUUCAUCCGGUAACCAUGGAUCAUCUUCGAAAAACGAAAUAAGUUUAUCAGUUUUAGAGGCUCGAUAGAGGGUGAUAUGCUUCAUUAAACCUAUUAUGCUCCAAACUAUCAGUAAUGAUUCCAAUCCCACUUGAUGUUCGGGGCAUGUGCUUUUGGACCAAAUGCUAGUGAGAAAUGUUUUAAAAAUCAACAUGCAAUCAAGUACAAAUAUUAGUGUUGCAUUUAUUCCGUGGAUAGGUAGAUUGAAGGACCAAACUAAAGCUUCAUACAGUUCAGAUAUAACUGAAGCUUCAUACGGUUAAGAUGUACAAAUUUCAUGCAAUCUCAUCACUUACAAGUUGCUGACUUCUCUUGUUUUCUACUGCAUUUGUGUAAGAUCAAGAGCCACCUAAUCUAGCCGGCUUGGGAACCUCAAUAUGAGUGUUAAUUAAUUAGUGUGAUAAAUGAAUCAACAAACUAGCUUCAUUGUCUCUACAUUAUUCUGUGCAUAAUCAAACCUGUGUCAUCAACAACAAGAAAAUAUCAUUCAUGACUAGGAUUCCUCAGUUCCUUUGCUUGACUCCAGAAGUGAACUUAGUACCAUGAGACUGUAACCUCUUUUUGGGGCGCAAACGAAUGAACUUCACAUACAAGAUUAGUCAAGCUAAGUAUCAAUUAGAACUUUAAUAGAGGCUACAGAUUCCAGGUUGAAAGAAGCUGGUGAGGUCUUCAACAAAGAUAUGUUGCAGUUUUAAGGCUGUACAGUUUUCAUCUUCAUCUUUGUUUGGUCGUGGUCCAACCCCUUUGCUUAUGGGGGCUUCGACAGGCGUUGGACGACACGUUGAUGAGGCUGUCAGGGCGCCUUAAAACAAAAAGAAAAGGGAGAGCGUCCUCAUUGUACGUGACUGACACCUGAUACGAGGUUGGCUUUGUCCGGUUUCAGACAGAUUUGGUGGGCCCAACACGUUGGCAACAUUAUCAAACGCGAGAGUGAUAAUAGAUUGGCAAAAUGAAGAACACAUCUCUCACGGAUCCACUUCAGUGAGAUAUGGUGAGGGUCUUACGAUUAUAAAUAUAAAAUUUUUACUAUUUAUUAGAUAUAUUUUUUGAUUUGAUAACAUGAUAUUGUAAUUUAUAAAUUUAGAGAUGUCAACUGGUAGGAUAUUCGUUAAUUUUGAGAUACUAAAAUCUGAAUUCGAUUAAAAAAUAAAAUACCCAAACUCGAUAAUUACCUGAAUUUUUUUUAAAUUUACUAUCCUAACUCAAAUCCUAAUACAUAAUCACUACCCGAUAAUUACUCGAACCCGUUUAAAAAUCUGAUUAUGUAAAAAAUUAUUAAAAUACUCUUUAUAGAUACCCAAUUACCCAAACUCAAAUCUGUACCUGUAUCUAUAUACAAUAAUAUUUUUAUUCAUAUUUUAUAUAAUUCACCAAUAAUUAAAUUUAUAAAAGCACAUAAAUAAUAAAAUUUAAAUUUAAAUAAUCAAAAACAAAUAUCUCAAAUAUCAACUUAAAUAAUUAAAAACAAAUAUUAAACUACAACUUAAACAUUACAAGUUUAAUUAACUAUGUGGGUUUAUCCAUGAAAUUAAAAAAAAUAAUUAUAUUCCAAAAUUAUUCUAAUCUUAUAAUUUCUUUUUAGGUAUAUAUUUUAUAAGUUUAUAUACACAAAAGUAUAUAUUAUAAAUAAUAAUUUUAUAAGUUAUAUUUUCUAUAAUGUUAAUACAAUAUAGCAAGUAAACAUGUUUAUAUUUAAAGUAUAUAUACAAUAGUAAUUGUAUUCUUCAUAAAUUAACACAAUAUAUAAAAUAUAUGUAUUAAAAGAUAUUACAAGUUAAUUAAUAAUCAUAGUUUUAUGAAUUAAUUUAAUUAAUAAUAUGAAUUUGUCUUGAAUUACAUAAAAUUAAAAAAAUAUAUAAUCAGAUUCGGGUAUCGGGUAUCCAAAGGGUGAUAUUUGAACCCUACCUGAACCCGAUACAUGUAUUUUAGGGUACUUUAACUUUAUACAAUCAGAUCAGGUACUCGUAAGUACCCUGUAACAGGAUACCUAUAGACAUCCCUAUAUAAACUUACUUAAAUUUAUUAUUCUUAAUUUUUUAAAUACAUUUUUAUUACCCAUAAACUGUUUAUUAAGUUUACGACUCAUAAGUAUUUACAAACUUACAAUAAUAUAAUAAUUACGGUAAAAUAAUUUUUUUUAUCAUUAAAUUAAAAGUUUUAAUGAUGCAACUUGUCUAUUUCUUUUUGAACAUUAUGAAACUCAUAAAAAUAUUAUUAUUAUCAUCAUAGUCUUAGUUGAAAAUGAUGGUCAACAUCUAAAAAAAAGUGAUUAUCUUCUAGAAAAAGAAUUGCCUCUGCCCAAACAACCUGGUUUUUGGUUUCACAAGAGUCCCUUUGAAGCAAAUUCUACAUCAGGCAACUGCAGAUCAUCUUCUAGAAACGAAAAAAGUCUAUCAAUGUUAGAGGCUCGAUAGAGAGUGGUAUGCUUCAUUAAACCUAUUAUGCUCCAAACCAUCAGUAAUGACUCCAAUCCCACUUGAUGUUUGGGGCAUGUGCUUUUAGAGCCAAUGCUAGUGAGAAAUGUUUCAGAAAUCAAACAUGCAAUCAAGUAUAAAUAGUAGUGUUUUGUUUAUUUCAUUUUGCUGCAGGCAUGGAGAUUAUGGAAAGAAGGCAAGCCUUUGAAUCUUGCUGAUGAUUUCUUAGCAGACACUGGCAGUCUAUCACAGGUGUCACGAUGCAUCCACAUUAGCCUCUUAUGUGUACAACAGCAUCCUGAGGAGAGGCCAAGCAUGUCAUCCGUGGUUCUGAUGUUGGGAAGUGAAAAUGAAUUGCCUCUGCCCAAACAACCUGGUUUUUUGUUUCACAAUAGUCCCUUUGAAGUAGAUUCUUCAUCAGGCAACUAUAAAUCAUCUUCGAAAAACGAAAUAAGUCUAUCAAUGUUAGAGGCUCGAUAGAGGGUGGUAUGCUUCAUUAAACCUAUUAUGCUCCAAUCCCACUUGAUGUUUGGGGCAUGUGCUUUUAGAGCCAAUGCUAGUGAGAAAUGUUACAGAAAUUAAACAUGCAAUGAAGUAUAAAUAGUGGUGUUUUGUUUAUUUCAUGGAUAGAUAAGAUUGAAGGGCCAAACUGAAGCUUCAUACAGUUAACAUAUACAAAUUCCAUGCAAUCUCAUCAUUUACAAGUUUUUGACUUAUCUUGUUUUCGGCUGCAUUUAUGUAAUAUCAAACGUAAGAGUGAUAAUAGAUUGGCAAAAUCAUGAACACAUCACUCAAGGUCAGGGGAGGGGGAUUUGGCAAAAUUAUGAAGUGGUACUAGCAAUUUUAGGAAUGGGCCGGCAUGCUUAAUGAGCUUGUAGUGGACUAUCAAUUUUCUAAUGGGCUUAUUGUGGAUCAAGGCAUGUUCUAAUGGGCUUCUAUUGGACAACAAAUAUUGAUUUUUUUUUAUUAUGGAGGGUUUAUUGAUGGUUUUUUUUGGAAUGGAUUUAUUUAUACAUAAUUACAUAUAUAUUGUAUUUAAGAAAACAAAUAAAAUUUUGAAUUUCCAUAUUACUUUUAUUCUUAAUCUUUUAAAUGUAUUUUUACUAUUCACAAACUAAUUAUUAUAUUUAUGACUCAUAAAUGUAUACAAACUAACAACGACAUAACAAUCACUGUAAAAUAUUUUUUAUUCAUGAUUAAAUCAAAAACUUUAAUGAUACAACUUGUCUAUUUCUUUUUCAACAUAAUGAAAGUCAUAAAAAUAUUAUCAUCAUAGUCAUAGUUGAAAAUGAUGGUCAACAUUUAAAAAAAAAAGUGAUUAUCUUUUUUUUAAUUAAAGUAAUAGUAGAAGUAGUCAUUGGCACGUGAGUAAAAUAGCAUAAUUAACUAGCAGAUGCUUCCGGCUUGAUGCUACUUUCAGCUUGAUUUUGUCAUAACAAUAAUGUUGCCUUAAUAAUUAGUAAUUAUGUCAUUCACCAUGUAUUUUUGUUGGUUUUUGAAAGUUCUCUUUAGAUUUGCUGGCAUGACUUCAAAAUUAUAUAUAAUUAAAUAAUAUAUAUAAAUAUAUAUGUAUAAUAUUGUUUUAAAGAAGAAAAAGAAAGGAAAAUGGAGUUCUAUGUGCCAAAAAAUUGAUUUUAUUUGUUGAAUCAAAUAAAAAAUAAUUAAAUGUAUAAUUGAUAAAUCGUGUAUAAAAUUUUAAAAAAGAGAGUAUAUCUAUUAAUUAGAAAUAAUAAUUGAUUAUAUAAAUAUGUGAUUAAUUUUAAUUGAUUAACUAUUUUAAAUUAAUUACAUUAAUGAAUUAACUAAUUAAUUAGUUAAUUAAAUUAAUUAACUAACUAAUUUAUUUAUAAAAUAAUUUAAAUUAAUUAAUUUAAUUCUUUAAAACUUAACUAAUUUACUAAAAAUAAAUAUUUAGUAAUUUCACAUAUUUUAAUAUAUAAAUAUUUAGUAUUUAAAUAUUAGGUUAGUUUUGUCAUGCUAUUAUUUAUUAUUUUAAGGGAUAAAGUUGAAAAAUUAAAAAUUUACAUUAAAAAAAGGUAAGUUUGAAAAUAUAAAGGGAAUUUUUUAAAUUUACAUUACAUUCUCAUACUUCCAAACCAAAGACUACCAUCUAAUCUUCCCAACAAUUAUAUUACAUGCAAUCAUCAUUUUUCUAUGAUAUAUAAAACAUUCUAAAGUUUUUUUCAUCCAUCAUAUUCCCUGCAAUUAUCAUAUUUUUAUAUUAUACAAAACGUUGCAAAGUUCUUCUCAUUCAUCAUAUUCCCUGCAAUCAUCACUUUUUCAUAUUAUAUCAAUGUUGCAAAAUUCUUCUCAUCAAUAACAUUCUCAGUAAUCAAAUUAUUAACAAUUACAUUUUCAAUAAAAUAUAUAAAAAAAAAACACGGUUUAUACUAUCAAGAACAAACUAAUUAACAUGAAAAUAGGGGAAAUUGACACGAAGUCAAUUCCAUCGGACCCUUAGGACUUGUGAUUGCAAUUUUUUGUAAAUUCAGCCUAAAAGUAUAGGAAGACUUGACUUUUUGGUAAUCAUGUCGACUUCAUAAUGGUUAUUGAGAAGAAAAAAUCUCCCUGACGUACGUUUUUUUUAAGUCUAGAGAUGCAUGUUUACUUAAUUACUUGCACGUUGAGUGGUCUUGGUUUAAGUCAUAGUCUUACGGUCUAGUAGUGUACAAUGAAAUUAAUUUUAGAGGUUACUUUAUGAUAAAACCUAAGUGUAAAGUUCCCUGAUUUUUUUGUGUAACAAAGAAUUUUAGCAUCUUCGGUUUACUGAAACAGUUGGGAGCUCUACAUUAAGCUAGGGCGGACAAGAAUAUUCUGUUUCAUGGUUUUUUAAACUUUAAGUUACUUAACUGCAACUUAUUUCAGUUCCUAUUUCUCAAUAAUCUUAACUUCACAGCCAUCAUGUUAGUUAAAGAUAUUUCCAUCUCCAGGAAGAAGUUGAGGCCUAUAGAAUAGUUGUCGUCUCUGUCACGAUUGAUGAAGAAUUUCAAGGUCAAUGGACCCAAAGUCUUGCCUUGAAGCCUGAAGGUCAAUGCUGUUUAGAAUGUUCAAUCAAAUGGCAUCUAUUCUUAUCUUCAAAGCAAAAAGCUUUCAGACUAUACAUCCAUGGACAUGGAUAUCCUUUCUUUCAGUGCUUGUUUCCUCAUCAUCUUCACCAAAGCUUCCAGCGCACCCGACAGGAUUUCUCCGUCUGAGUCACUCACUGAUGGCACGACCUUGGUCUCUAGUGAUGGAAGCUUUGUAUUGGGUUUCUUCACUCCGGGGAGUUCUAAGAAUCGUUACUUGGGAAUUUGGUACAAUAACAUCCCCAUGCAAACUGUUGUAUGGGUUGCAAACAGGAUAAAUCCGAUAAAUGACACCACUGGCUUGCUGCAGAUAGAAAGCACUGGCAGAGUCGUGCUUCUAGGUCAGAACCAAACAACUGUUUGGUCAAUUAAUUCCACAGAAGCAGCUCAGAAUCCGAUUCUGCAGCUCCUGGAUUCAGGCAAUCUUGUUGUCAGAAAUGGAAAAGAUGGUGAUUCAGAGAACUACUUGUGGCAAAGCUUUGAUUAUCCAACUGAUACAAUGUUACCGGCGAUGAAGAUUGGUUGGGACCUGAGAACUAAUUUAAAUCGAAGACUAGCAGCAUGGAAGAACUCAGAUGAUCCAUCUCCUGGGGACCUUACUUAUGGGGUGGAACUCCAAGGCAAUCCAGAGGUGGUGCUGCGGAAAGGCUCAGAAAAGUACCAUCGCAGUGGCCUCUGGAAUGGCGAUGGAUUUAGUGGUGCACAAAAUUUAAGAUCAAAUCCGGUCUAUGAGUACGACUUUGUCUGGAAUGAGGAGGAGGUGUACUACAUAAAUUACCUCAAAAAUAAAUCGGUGAUGUCAAGGUUAGUUUUGAACCAAACUGAAAAGGUUAGACAGCGGUACACAUGGAACCCAGAAACUCAAACUUGGAUGUUGAUUUCCAUCAUGCCAAGUGACUGUUGUGACAUACUUGGACUUUGUGGUGCAAAUGGGAACUGCGAUAAUUCCACGCUUCCAGCUUGCCAAUGUUUGAAAGCAUUCAGGCCUAAAUCGCUGGAAAGAUGGAACUCCUUAGACUGGUCUGAAGGGUGUAUACACAAUAAGCCAUUAAACUGCCAAAGCGGAGAUGGAUUUAUUAGAAUUGAGAGGGUGAAAACGCCAGAUACCUCACAUUCUUGGGUGAGCAAAAGUAUGAAUCUCGAGGAAUGCAGGGCUAAGUGCUUGCAGAACUGUUCUUGUAUGGCAUACACUAAUUUAGAUAUUAGAGGAGGAGGUAGCGGCUGCGCCAUGUGGUUUGGUGAUCUAAUUGAUAUUAAACAAUUUCAAUCAUUUGGCCAGGAUCUUUACAUCAGAGUCUCUGCUUCAGAAGCAGGUAUCAGUUUAAAAUCGGAACAUUUUCUUGUUACAGCUUGUGAUAAUUUCUUUUGGAAAUUGUUUAAUUAUACUUGGGCUCCUUCAUCAAUAAUGAUCAUGCAGAACUGAAAAACAAGGCUAAGGCGAAGCUGGCCGUGAUAAUUGCAACACCAAUUGCUAUGUUCUUGGGGCUUCUUGUAGUCAUUUAUUACAUCCGGAGAAGGAGAAGAAAAUUAGAAGGUAAUAUCAACUAUGGUCCUCAUUAAAGCAGGGGAAAGUUGGUAUUUGAUACAAAUACCAAAAUCGUUUCUGCUCACAGCACCGCUAUCAGAUCCCUGCCCUGUUUUCAAGAAAACAGUAAUACUAAAAUUUGUCAUUUCUCUUAUCAAAUUUGAUAAUACAUGGUUUUCAAUUUUGUUUUAUGAUCUGACAAAAAAGUGAGUCCAUGAACAAUUGGUUCGAUAUUUUUGGUUUUGGUGUUCAGAAGAAGCAUACAGCUUUUGUCUAUCUAAAUCUAUCAAUAUGCAUGAGAAAGCGUAUCUCUGUGUUGAAUGCUAGCCUAUUUUGACUACUGUUUCAGAUGAAGUUAAAGAAAGGAUUUUAAAUGAUCAAAAGAACCAAGGCCAGAGUGAAGAUAUGGAGCUUGCUGUAUUCGAGCUAGCUACGAUAGCCAGAGCUACUGGUAGUUUUUCUUUUAAUAACAAGCUAGGUGAAGGAGGUUUUGGACCUGUUUAUAAGGUAAAAGUAAGCACAUAUUACUAAAGUGAUCUCAAGCACGGAGAAUUCAUCUUUAUUGAAAGCUCAUCAAAAUAUUCCUAGUCUCCAGGGGACACUUGCAAAUGGACAAGAAAUUGCUGUGAAAAGACUUUCAAAGAGUUCCGGACAAGGAUUGAACGAGUUUAAAACUGAAGUAAAGUUGAUUGCCAAACUUCAGCAUCGGAAUCUUGUAAGGCUUCUUGGGUGCUGCAUUCAUGGAGAGGAGAAAAUGCUGGUUUAUGAAUACAUGCCUAACAGAAGUCUUGACUCAUUUAUUUUUGGUCAGAAACCUUUCAAUUUUAUAUUGUCUGCUCUCGGCUUGUGAAAUAGUUUUCUUUUGCUGCUUCAAAGGAUCAAAUAGAUAUAGAAUUAACAUGAAGGCAGUACUUGACAGAUCAAAGAAGGUGCAAAGUAUUAGAUUGGCCCAAGCGUUUCCAAAUUAUCUGUGGGAUUGCUAGGGGACUACUCUACCUUCAUCAAGAUUCCAGAUUGAGGAUUAUUCAUAGAGAUCUAAAAGCUAGUAAUGUUUUGCUUGAUAGUGAGAUGAACCCAAAAAUUUCAGAUUUUGGCAUGGCAAGACUUUUGGAGGAGACCAGACUGAAGCCAAUACCAACAGAGUGGUUGGAACUUAGUAAGUCUACUUUUUCUGCAAAUUUGAUCUAUAAAUGCCCAUGAAACUCUUAUCUGACAAUGUUUUGCAGUGGUUAUAUGGCACCAGAAUAUGCUAUCGAUGGGCUGUUUUCGGUAAAAUCAGAUGUGUUUAGCUUUGGCAUAUUGUUGUUGGAGAUAAUAAGUGGAAGAAAGAAUAGAGGAUUAUAUCAUCAAAAUCAAAAUGGCAACCUUAUUGAACAUGUAAGCCUGAUUGUCAUUAUCUUUUAUUACAUAUUUUGAACCGAUGAAUGAUAAAAGAAUUUCAUUUUGCUGCAGGCAUGGAGAUUAUGGAAAGAAGGCAGGCCUUUGGAUCUUGUUGAUGAGUUCUUAGCAGAGACCGGCAGUCUAUCACAGGUGUUACGAUGCAUCCACAUUAGCCUUUUUUGUGUACAACAACAUCCUAAGGAGAGGCCAAGCAUGUCAUCCGUGGUUCUGAUGUUGGGAAGUGAAAAUGAAUUGCCUCUGCCCAAACAACCUGGUUUUUGGUUUCACAAGAGUCCCUUUGAAGCAGAUUCUACAUCAGGCAACUACAAAUCAUCUUCUAGAAACGAAAUAAGUCUAUCAAUGUUAGAGGCUCGAUAGAGGGUGGUAUGCUUCAUUAAACCUAUUAUGCUCCAAACCAUCAGCAAUGACUCCAAUCCCACUUGAUGUUUGGGGCAUGUGCUUUUAGAGCCACUGCUAGUGAGAAAUGUUUCAGAAAUCAAACAUGCAAUUAAGCAUAAAUAGUAGUGUUUUGUUUAUUUCAUGG